GACGAACGCUGGCGGCGUGCUUAACACAUGCAAGUCGAACGGUAAGGCCCCUUCGGGGGUACACGAGUGGCGAACGGGUGAGUAACACGUGGGUGAUCUUCCCUGCACUUCGGGAUAAGCCUGGGAAACUGGGUCUAAUACCGGAUAGGACCACGCUCUGCAUGGAGUGUGGUGGAAAGCUUUUGCGGUGUGGGAUGGGCCCGCGGCCUAUCAGCUUGUUGGUGGGGUGAUGGCCUACCAAGGCGACGACGGGUAGCCGGCCUGAGAGGGUGUCCGGCCACACUGGGACUGAGAUACGGCCCAGACUCCUACGGGAGGCAGCAGUGGGGAAUAUUGCACAAUGGGCGCAAGCCUGAUGCAGCGACGCCGCGUGGGGGAUGACGGCCUUCGGGUUGUAAACCUCUUUCAGUAACGACGAAGCGCAAGUGACGGUAGGUACAGAAGAAGCACCGGCCAACUACGUG
This 464-nucleotide ribosomal RNA is filed under the name uncultured bacterium. Its description in RNAcentral is "partial 16S ribosomal RNA". It matches the Rfam family "Bacterial small subunit ribosomal RNA", at positions 28 to 507 of the family's 1533-position model. The record is from RNAcentral.